This 216-nucleotide long non-coding RNA is filed under the name Elaeis guineensis (African oil palm). Its description in RNAcentral is "long non-coding RNA (EGUI_LNC070752)". The record is from RNAcentral. Lineage: Eukaryota; Viridiplantae; Streptophyta; Magnoliopsida; Arecales; Arecaceae.
UGCCAUUUCUUUGUAGGGUCCAUAAGCAAGUGGAAACCAAGUCUAAAAGAGACCAAGCUGAAAGUAGAAAAUGAUCUUGAAGUUGAAGUAAAAUAUAUAGGAGUUGUCAAGUUGUCUUUAGAGUCUGGUUUUGAAAUUUUUUUUGAAAAAUAUUUUUUAUGUACCUUCUUUUAGAAAAAUUUAAUUUCUGUUUCCUCUUUACAUAUACAGACUUGG